Molecule: non-coding RNA, 1404 nt
Organism: Oryctolagus cuniculus (rabbit)
Lineage: Eukaryota; Metazoa; Chordata; Mammalia; Lagomorpha; Leporidae
Source: RefSeq, a predicted model, not a curated record
CUUGCCCCCACCACACUCCUCCUCUCAGAAAGGAAUCCACUGCAACAUUGCUGAGAAAUCAACUGCAACAUGGGCCUGUUACACAAAGUCACCCCUCAAGAAGCUCCUGGCCGGAAGGGACCCAGGCCGGGACUCUAGAGCCCUGGAUGCCCCAAUGGAAGAAUACCCAGCGAAAGGCUGGGGUCUGAACAACCAUAGGGAAGCUUCCAGAAGCCACACAGCGCCCUUCUUGCCCAGCAACAACAAAAUCAACACACUGAGGCUGCAGGGUGAGUACACUCCUGAAUUCAGAUCCAGGAAGCUCCAGCACUGCUGGGAACGGGACUGGUGGGAGUCACCCGGGAGCAAAGACUAGAGACAUCAGCUCCCUGCAGCGGACCUGCGGUCUCUGGCUGGCGCUGGGUCCCAGGUGACCUGGUGCCAAACCCUAACCGGCUACCUUCCCCCACCGGCCACUGCUGCAGGACGCACAGCAGGACCCAGUCUUCUGGCCAGUCUUCCCUGCGCCCUCCUUCCUCUGAGCAGCUCACCCAUUUGUCCGGCGUGGGCUCCCAUCCCAGCUUCCUCGCACCCCGCCCCGCUGGGGAACUGGGCCUGCACUGUUUCAGGAUCCGCUUACCCAGCAGAACAGCGCCUUCCCCCUGCCGCCCAGACACACAACAAAGGCGAGAUCCAAGUUCCGCUCAGCUCAGCUCAGCCAUCUACAAAUACCCUGCACGCAUGCCACCUGCUGUCCGCCACAUGUCGUCCCUGCGGCCUGGGAGGUGACAGUUCCAUUUCAAAGAUGAGACACCGAAGCUCAGAAAAACAAAGCCGAAAUCCCAGCCAACCCGGAGCGUGUAUAAGGCAAGGCUGGCCUUGUGCCCCUAAUACUGUGACUUUGGGUUCAGACUAACUCCCACCAUACUUCCAAAGAAGAUUCUAUCUGUGGCUUUCCAAGCGUUAGCAACACAAGCCAUCAUCUCAUCUUGUGGUUGGUGUGCUGAAUGGGUAUGCUGCUGCAUGUCAAAAUUCAGAGUCAAACGUACUUGUCUCUCAGAAAACCAGCUAGCAUUAGCUGUUUGUGUGUUUUUUUAAAUAUGAUUUAUUUGAGAGGCAGACGGACAGACAGAUGACAGAGCUGCAAUGUGCUGGCUCACUUUCCAAAUGCCCCCAACAACUGAGUCUGCAACCAGAAGACAGAAAUUCAAUCCAGGUCUCUGCCGUGGGUGGCGGGCAUCUGGUUACUUGAGCCGUCAUCCCUGCCUUCCAUCAAGGAGCUGGAGUCAUCGGGCCAGAGCCAGGGAUGGUACCCUGGUACCCCGGCACGGGAGGCAGGUGUGGUCACUGGCAUCCUAAGCACUAAAUAAAAAUCCGCUCCUCAUUAGCUAUUUGCUUCUUAACAAUAAAACCAGUUUUUCCUGA